This 132-nucleotide non-coding RNA is filed under the name Meriones unguiculatus (Mongolian gerbil). The record is from RNAcentral. Lineage: Eukaryota; Metazoa; Chordata; Mammalia; Rodentia; Muridae.
UCACUCAUCCAAAGGAGAGAAGGUUAGUGCUCCCCUUGACAAAGAUGGAAGAGGCCCUUGGGCCAACAACACACAUAUAGUUAAGGCAUUGCCACCUACUUCUAACACCUACCUUUAAAGCAAGCUUUUCUU